UGGGGAAUUUUGGACAAUGGGCGAAAGCCUGAUCCAGCAAUGCCGCGUGUGUGAAGAAGGCCUUCGGGUUGUAAAGCACUUUUGUCCGGAAAGAAAUCCUUGGCUCUAAUACAGUCGGGGGAUGACGGUACCGGAAGAAUAAGCACCGGCUAACUACGUGCCAGCAGCCGCGGUAAUACGUAGGGUGCAAGCGUUAAUCGGAAUUACUGGGCGUAAAGCGUGCGCAGGCGGUUUGCUAAGACCGAUGUGAAAUCCCCGGGCUCAACCUGGGAACUGCAUUGGUGACUGGCAGGCUAGAGUAUGGCAGAGGGGGGUAGAAUUCCACGUGUAGCAGUGAAAUGCGUAGAGAUGUGGAGGAAUACCGAUGGCGAAGGCAGCCCCCUGGGCCAAUACUGACGCUCAUGCACGAAAGCGUGGGGAGCAAACAGGAUUAGAUACCCUGGUAGUCCACGCCCUAAACGAUGUCAACUAGUUGUGGGGAUUCAUUCCUUAGUAACGUAGCUAACGCGUGAAGUUGACCGCCUGGGGAGUACGGUCGCAAGAUUAAAACUUAAAGGAAUUG
Molecule: ribosomal RNA, 562 nt
Filed under: uncultured bacterium
Lineage: Bacteria
Description: partial 16S ribosomal RNA
Rfam family: Bacterial small subunit ribosomal RNA
Source: RNAcentral